RNAcentral lists this long non-coding RNA (237 nucleotides) under Elaeis guineensis (African oil palm). RNAcentral describes it as "long non-coding RNA (EGUI_LNC014143)". The record is from RNAcentral. Lineage: Eukaryota; Viridiplantae; Streptophyta; Magnoliopsida; Arecales; Arecaceae.
CAAGUAAUGCCUUCUGUUUUAUAUGUGUCUCAAACAAACUUCACAGAAUUCUCAAUAUCUUGUCUAUACAAAAACUUUGUCUGCCUUCCAUCAGUAAUAUGUAAGCCUGAAACAAAGAUUCACAACAAAUUCUAGUUUGGAUCUCAAUCGGUUAAUCCCCCUCUCAAGGUAUUUUAGCUGUUUAAUAGAUAGAUAUACAUCCAUUAAGCCAAAGUAAUUUUAGAAGAAAUUGGUAAG